CAAAACAUUUCAAGAUUUUAUAUUUUGUAGCAGAUCUGAUAAAAAGCCAAUGUGUGCAACCCCCUUCCCUUUCUCCUUCACGCUCUAGUUUCUGGGUUUCGGAGCCGACCGAAAACCUCACGUAGCUCGAGGCCGGCUGAAGCUUUUACCCCAAUUAGCAAUCCUUUUCCCCAAAUUUCUCCAGUCGUCGUUGGUGAAGCACAUUGGAUUCAGGAAUUAGUAACAUUGAUGUAGGAAAGAGAUUAAAGUAGGGCGACGGGAGUAGAAAUACAAUUGUCAAGAUCGGGAGGAGGGAAAGAGAAGUGAGAAGGGAUGAAGUUAAGAAGAGUGAUGAGAGAACAGAGAAAUCGAGAUCAAUGAGAAGUUUGAGCUCAGCAGCAAAAUUCCUAACCACACCAGCGUCAACCAUUAAAGGAGCGCAAAGCUCAAGUUCGAAAAAUUGAUUUGCCGCAAACGAAUUUCAUUUUGAGUUGGGGAGUUUGAAUCUAAAAUUAAAGGCUAUUUGGGUAAAAUUUGAGCUAAUUUUGGACUGAAUUUCAGUCGUAGUUCGUUGAAGUUCGAAAUUAAAAUAAUUGUAUCAAAUUUGUAUUAAAGUUUAUUAUAAUUGUAUGCAGAGUUAUAUGAAAAUUUUAUUUUAAGUUUGAA
This is a long non-coding RNA of Lycium ferocissimum, 645 nucleotides long. RefSeq lists it as uncharacterized. NCBI's taxonomy places the organism in Eukaryota, Viridiplantae, Streptophyta, Magnoliopsida, Solanales, Solanaceae. The record is from RefSeq and is a predicted model, not a curated record. The transcript is spliced from 2 exons.